CCUGCUCAAUGACAUUUAAAUAGCCGCUUUUAGUGCUAAGGUAGCAUAAUAAAUGACUCUUUAAUUAAGAGAUAGAAUGAAAGGAAAAACGAUUUAUUAAUUGUGUCAAUCUAUUAAAAUAAAAUUUCUUCUAUAAGUAAAAAUCCAAUUAAUUAACAACAGGACGACAAGACCCUAACGAACUUUUUAUCCAAUUUUACUGAGAAGGUAAAAAACAAAAUCUUUAUUUUCAUUCAGUCUACGCACUAAUCGAAUAAAAUUAAGUUACCUUAGGGAUAACAGCAUAAUAAUUUCGUAAAGCUCAUAUAGAACAAAUUAAUUAUGACCUCGAUGUUGAAUUAACCAUUCUAUUUACAGAAAAAAGUAAAAAAGAGAGUCUGUUCGACUCUUUAAACGUUACAU
This 402-nucleotide ribosomal RNA is filed under the name Speocera heilan. RNAcentral describes it as "partial large subunit ribosomal RNA". Lineage: Eukaryota; Metazoa; Arthropoda; Arachnida; Araneae; Ochyroceratidae. The record is from RNAcentral.